This is a long non-coding RNA of Gallus gallus (chicken), 1395 nucleotides long. Lineage: Eukaryota; Metazoa; Chordata; Aves; Galliformes; Phasianidae. The record is from Ensembl.
AGAUCCGUGUGCGUUGGGGAGAGGGGUUGCAUCUCACCUCACAUACCGUAUAUUCAAAUAUAUAUCAAUGUAUGGGUAUGACAUAGUUGUGAGAGAUUGCUGCCAGGCUCUGGGAUUUGUAUGUGGUUGGUUUCAGAGGCAUUGUCAUCGUGACAGCUGGGGAAGGCUCUGGGGAAGCCAAGCUUGGAGGGGAGAGUUUGGCAGAGGAUCCCGGGUGCCCUGUGAGGGGACUGAAUGCCAUGCAGUGCCACUAGCCACUCCUGAGCUGGCACCUCUCCUGCUUUCUUGUUUCAUUGUGAGGCUUUUCAGUUCCCAUUUAAGAAGAGACAUCUCAUCCCAGGAGCUGCAGGGCAAACUCCCUCUCCACACACAGAGGAACAUGAUGUUGCUAGGCAAGGGCAGGACAGAGCAGGAAAAGUGCAAGACCUUAGCCACUUGCUGCAAGAAAAUCCAGAAACACCCCUGUUUUCUUGUACCCUGACUGCCACACUGAGUAUCUUAAAAAGAAGACAAGGCAGAGCAAGUAGUCCAGCCUGACACAUCAUUGGCUUUGUGCUCAACUAAAUGAAGUCAGAAUUCAGACCUCUUAUAGCAGAGCAUUGUGGAGGGGUUCUUUUGCUCCAGUCAGUUUUCAUCAGGAGUGGCUUAUCAGACAUAAAAAGCUGUAAAUGAUUGUUGGUGUUUCAAAGCAGAAAUUCUCCUUUGAAAAGAACAUGUCCCACAUGCUGGCAUGAAAUAUUUCCCUCAAGACAAUAUGUUACAGUCCUUAAGAAAUCAUCAUCAGUAUCAGUAAGGCAGCAGGGGGAAAAAAGCAAUAUGAAGACACACCUGGUGUGGUGGUCACACAGUUUUUUUGGGUAACCUUCUGUGUUCUGCCAGUGGUAUCACUGCUUUAUUUGCAAGGAGCCAUCCAUUUCACCCAAAGAAAGUGAUCUCAUUUUAAAGCAGAAGCAUCUGUUUAGAGCUGCAGUCCUCAGUGUUUCUCAAGAAACGGUUGAAACUGUCAGCAUUUUAGGAAAGCUAGAGGUAUUGCAGCCAUUUCCUAUCAGAUGCUGUCUUUCUAAGUAUGCAGAGUAAUAUGACAUUUGAACAGAUGAGGUUAAAUGCUAAAUCUGACUUGAUUAAUGCUGAUGGAAACACAAUGCUCAGUACUCUAUGCAAAAUUAUGGUUUGAAUGAAAAUUUCAUGUUAAAUAAGUCAUAAUGUAUCAAUUUAGAACUGUUAAAUGUGAUACUGUUUUAACAUAACACAUUUCAAAACUGAGUGUCAUUCUGAGAUAAGCAGAGAUGUUCCAGUUCUGUAAAUUUAUAAAUGUUGUUGUUACUGGUGUUCUUUCUCUGUACUUUUUGAAUCCAUUUCCAUCAGAAAAUUCUGUGUGGGAAAUAAAUUGAGAAA